This is a long non-coding RNA of Bufo bufo (common toad), 178 nucleotides long. RefSeq lists it as uncharacterized. The transcript is spliced from 3 exons. The record is from RefSeq and is a predicted model, not a curated record. Lineage: Eukaryota; Metazoa; Chordata; Amphibia; Anura; Bufonidae.
AAAAGGGCAUCUGUCAGCAGAUUUGUACCUAUGAAACUGGCAGACCUGUUCCAUGCGCGCUUGGCAGCCGAAGGCAUCUGUGUUGGUCCCAUGUUCAUAUGUGCCCGCAUUGCUGAGAAAAAUGAAGUUUUACUAUAUGCAAAUGAGCCUCUAGGUGCUAUGGGGGCGUGAUUAGCAC